UGGAGGACUGCUCCUACUAGGGAGUGCCAAUGCAUCCCUGACCCCUUGAACACAAUGCGACUUUUGUGCGUCUAGACAUGUCUUUUCAAUGGAUUCUUCAAUCUCCAAUGCGAUUCUGAUAGCAUAAGUCACAUGUAAGGGUCAAGUGUAGACACAGCCAUAGACUUGCAUGUUUUUUCAAAAAGGAACGACAACUUUUUGGAAGUGUUGAGAAACUUGUUGGAAAGUGUUGGGGAAAUUCCUUAUCAACGUUUUGUUGUAAUAAGGUUAAUUGAGACGGAAUCAGCCUUUUCAUAACGAGCUGCCAUCUGAUUGGUCCUCACUAAUUAGGCCUAAUUCAUUGCUCUGCAGUUGAUUUUACCUGCGUGUUGGCCUCUAUGCGCAUGUGCGCGUAAGCAUCAAUCUGGCGAUGUCUUCCGAACAGAAGAGAAACAUAGUUGUGUUUUUAUGUAUAACUGUAGCUUUUUCUAACUUGAUGUUCUGUGGUGCGUUGAGUGUAGAAAAGUUUAAUGUUCUCGAUGGUUUUAAUGCGGAUCAUGAAAAGGCGUCAAAUGCUGACAGAGAGCCGAGGAUCAGCACAAAACAAGACGCCAAGCACAAAUCUGAGUACCUGGGCGGACUGGCCAUUCUUCGGCGCAAUCUUCGACCUACUGUUAAUAAUUUCAGCAUUCAUGAACAGAGUGCAGAGUCCAUUGACGUUCCUGAGAACUCCAUAAAUAAUUCGAGUCAACCCAACAUUGAUCUAAAGUCAACUGAUUUGCGGGGGCCUUUGAAUGUCCAGAAAAGAUCUCUGGAUUACAAUGCUGGACAUCAGGCAGUCUUCAAAGGUUUUGAAGGCCACGGUUUUCAAGGGAAGGUCUAUGGUCCAUCAGCUGAGCACAACCCCCACUCCAGUGAAUGGCUGUCGAUGAGGCCUCUGGUCCAGUGUAAUGACAACCUCAUGAUGCUCACUGCAUCUGGACGAGGAUACACACAUCUACUGGUGGAUAGAGCGGGCGCCUCUCCCAUCUCCCUGUUCCAGCUGCCGCCGUCCUGUGGUUACCAUGUGAAGACUACCUGAGAGAGAUGGUGAUGAUGGCACCAUACGAUGGAUGCUACAUCAUGCAGGAGCAUGGUAGUUAUGUCCUGCCCAUGCUGUGGUGGGGCAGCCCUGUGAAGAUCAUCUGCCCUGUCCCCCCAAUCUCUGUCCCCUCAGUACUCUGCUCCCACUUUGGCAUGGCCAUCCAGAUGCAUGGAGGGGAGGAGGUCAUACACACACUACAGGUCAUAGAGAACGGCGAGUGGGUGCCGUUUGUGUCUGAAGAGUGUGCCUACCAAGUGGAGUCCCACUCAGGAGACCUCAUCUUUUAUGUUCCCUUUACAGCCCCAUGUGUGACCGUCGGAAAUGGAGUUCAUCGACUGGUCCUAUUGGACGGCCAGGACUUCAUCCUCUCCUGCCCCUCACACCACCCUCCUCCAUUUCCCUUCUUUCCCUCUCCUCCAUUUUCUCAACCCUUCUCUCCUGGUGACCCGCAGCAGCAGAUACCUGUCCCUGUGACUUUUGCUCCCUCCACCAGCCCUCCCCUUACCUCUCCUCCCAUCACCCCUUAUACUCAACCCCCAGCCCAGGAACAGAUGCCCCAACUUCCUGCGUUCCCCCACUACCGCCCUCAUGGCAUGUAUCACCAAAUUCCCCAUUUCCCUUACGGUGGAGCUGGUUAUCACCCUCCCCUCCACCCUGGUCACAAUCCAUACCCUGGCUCCCAUCAGCUUCUCCCAGGGAGAUACCCAGGCCAGCAGCCCUUCUUCCCCAUGGGGCCUGGGAAUCACCCCUACGGCUCUGGAGACCACCGUGACUCCUUUUUACCUCUCCCCGCCCCUACCCACGAUCCCAUGCUCAGGCUAUUAUAAUGGAAUCACCCCUGGUGUCCACCGUCCUGUUGUCUAUCCUACUCCUCUUACAGCUAUCCGACCACCGCCUCCCGCCGCUUAUACCAAACCUUCUCCUCCCGCCGCUUAUACCAAACCUUCUCCUCCGCCGCUUAUACCAAACCUUCUCCUCCCGCCGCUUAUACCAAACCUUCUCCUCCCGCCGCUUAUACCAAAC
This 2086-nucleotide long non-coding RNA is filed under the name Salmo salar (Atlantic salmon). Its description in RNAcentral is "lncRNA (ENSSSAG00000085401.1)". The record is from RNAcentral. Lineage: Eukaryota; Metazoa; Chordata; Actinopteri; Salmoniformes; Salmonidae.